GCCCGGAUGGCGGAAUAGGUAGACGCGUUGGACUUAAAAUCCAAUGACCAGUAAUGGUUGUGCCGGUUCGAUUCCGGCUUCGGGUA
This 86-nucleotide transfer RNA is filed under the name Bacteroidales bacterium. RNAcentral describes it as "tRNA-Leu". It matches the Rfam family "tRNA". From Rfam's summary of the family: Transfer RNA (tRNA) molecules are approximately 80 nucleotides in length. Their secondary structure includes four short double-helical elements and three loops (D, anti-codon, and T loops). The record is from RNAcentral. Lineage: Bacteria; Pseudomonadati; Bacteroidota; Bacteroidia; Bacteroidales.